This 490-nucleotide ribosomal RNA is filed under the name uncultured bacterium. RNAcentral's name for it is "partial 16S ribosomal RNA". It matches the Rfam family "Bacterial small subunit ribosomal RNA", at positions 30 to 507 of the family's 1533-position model. The record is from RNAcentral.
AUUGAACGCUGGCGGCAGGCCUAACACAUGCAAGUCGAACGGUAACAGGAAGAAGCUUGCUUCUUUGCUGACGAGUGGCGGACGGGUGAGUCAUGUCUGGGAAACUGCCUGAUGGAGGGGGAUAACUACUGGAAACGGUAGCUAAUACCGCAUAACGUCGCCAGACCAAAGAGGGGGACCUUCGGGCCUCUUGCCCUCGGAUGUGCCCAGAUGGGAUUAGCUAGUAGGUGGGGUAACGGCUCACCUAGGCGACGAUCCCUAGCUGGUCUGAGAGGAUGACCAGCCACACUGGAACUGAGACACGGUCCAGACUCCUACGGGAGGCAGCAGUGGGGAAUAUUGCACAAUGGGCGCAAGCCUGAUGCAGCCAUGCCGCGUGUAUGAAGAAGGCCUUCGGGUUGUAAAGUACUUUCAGCGGGGAGGAAGGGAGUAAAGUUAAUACCUUUGCUCAUUGACGUUACCCGCAGAAGAAGCACCGGCUAACUCCGUG